UUGUUGUAGCCCUGCCAGUUCGACCGCGGCAGAUUGAAUAUGCGCAGGCGCUCGGCGUGGCUGAUGGCCGGAUCGGGCGAUGGAUCGAUGAAGAUGUCGCGGUGAUCGAAAGCCGCAACGAGCUUGGUCGCCGGCGAGAGCAGCAUGCCAUUGCCGAAGACGUCACCGGACAUGUCGCCCACGCCGGCAGCGGUGAAGGGCAUAGUCUGGAUAUCGGCGCCGAGUUCGCGGAAAUGGCGUUUGACCGCUUCCCACGCACCGCGCGCGGUGAUGCCCAUCUUCUUGUGGUCAUAGCCCCGGCUGCCGCCGGAGGCGAAAGCAUCGCCAAGCCAAUGGCCCUUCUCGGUCGAGAUCGUGUUGGCGAUGU
This 367-nucleotide unclassified non-coding RNA is filed under the name Hevea brasiliensis (rubber tree). Lineage: Eukaryota; Viridiplantae; Streptophyta; Magnoliopsida; Malpighiales; Euphorbiaceae. The record is from RNAcentral.